AGAUCUUGGUAUCUCAUUCUCAUCCAAGUUACACAUAAACACCAUAUGCUCUUCUAGAUAUUCUGCAAAGGAACACUCGGCUUGAGAAGGAUGCUCCACAGCCUGGGCAUUGUAGUACACUCUCGUGUUUACCCAGUUGGAAGCAUCCCUCUUUAUCCUUGUGCUCCUCUGCAAGCCUGAAAUUGUUCUUCUUCUUGUGCUUCUUGCCCAUCUUCACUAGACUGAGCCCUACUCUCCUCUGAACCAGUAGACUGAGCCACACUCUCCUCUGAACCAGUAGACUGAGCAACACUCUCCUCUGAACCAGUAGACUCUCCUUGCACAUCUCCACUAGACUGAGCAUCAUUCUCUACUUCAUGUGUUACCUCUUGAUUAUGAUGACCUGAAUCUUCUUGGUUUUGCUCUUGCUCACC
RNAcentral lists this long non-coding RNA (413 nucleotides) under Brassica napus (rape). RNAcentral describes it as "long non-coding RNA (BNAP_LNC015208)". Lineage: Eukaryota; Viridiplantae; Streptophyta; Magnoliopsida; Brassicales; Brassicaceae. The record is from RNAcentral.